CCUACGGGAGGCAGCAGUGGGGGAUAUUGCACAAUGGGGGGAACCCUGAUGCAGCGACGCCGCGUGGGUGAAGAAGGGCCUCGGCGCGUAAAGCCCUGUCAGCAGGGAAGAAAAUGACGGUACCUGAAGAAGAAGCCCCGGCUAACUACGUGCCAGCAGCCGCGGGAAUACGUAGGGGGCAAGCGUUAUCCGGAUUUACUGGGUGUAAAGGGGGCGCAGACGGCGAUGCAAGUCAGGAGUGAAAGCCCGGGGCCCAACCCCGGGACUGCUCGUGGAACUGCGUGGCUGGAGUGCAGGAGGGGCAGGCGGAAUUCCUGGUGUAGCGGUGAAAUGCGUAGAUAUCAGGAGGAACACCGGUGGCGAAGGCGGCCUGCUGGACUGCAACUGACGUUGAGGCCCGAAAGCGUGGGGAGCAAACAGGAUUAGAUACCCUGGUAGUC
RNAcentral lists this ribosomal RNA (440 nucleotides) under uncultured bacterium. RNAcentral's name for it is "partial 16S ribosomal RNA". It matches the Rfam family "Bacterial small subunit ribosomal RNA", at positions 338 to 795 of the family's 1533-position model. The record is from RNAcentral.